UGGGGAAUAUUGCACAAUGGGCGAAAGCCUGAUGCAGCAACGCCGCGUGAGUGAUGAAGGCCUUCGGGUUGUAAAGCUCUGUCUUCUGGGACGAUAAUGACGGUACCAGAGGAGGAAGCCACGGCUAACUAUGUGCCAGCAGCCGCGGUAAUACGUAGGUGGCAAGCGUUGUCCGGAUUUACUGGGCGUAAAGGAUGCGUAGGCGGAUACUUAAGUCAGAUGUGAAAAUCCCGGGCUUAACUUGGGAACUGCAUUUGAAACUGGGUAUCUAGAGUGCGGGAGAGGAAAGUGGAAUUCCUAGUGUAGCGGUGAAAUGCGUAGAGAUUAGGAAGAACACCAGUGGCGAAGGCGACUUUCUGGACCGUAACUGACGCUGAGGCAUGAAAGCGUGGGGAGCAAACA
This 402-nucleotide ribosomal RNA is filed under the name uncultured bacterium. Its description in RNAcentral is "bacterial SSU rRNA". It matches the Rfam family "Bacterial small subunit ribosomal RNA", at positions 355 to 774 of the family's 1533-position model. The record is from RNAcentral.